UGGAAUGUGGCUCAGUGGCAGAGUACUUGCCCAGCAUGUGUGAGGCUCUGGGUUCUAUUCCCAGCAUGGCAA
RNAcentral lists this transfer RNA (72 nucleotides) under Marmota marmota marmota (Alpine marmot). It matches the Rfam family "tRNA". From Rfam's summary of the family: Transfer RNA (tRNA) molecules are approximately 80 nucleotides in length. Their secondary structure includes four short double-helical elements and three loops (D, anti-codon, and T loops). RNAcentral also lists the same sequence under 2 other names. Lineage: Eukaryota; Metazoa; Chordata; Mammalia; Rodentia; Sciuridae. The record is from Rfam by way of RNAcentral.